Molecule: ribosomal RNA, 502 nt
Filed under: uncultured bacterium
Lineage: Bacteria
Description: bacterial SSU rRNA
Rfam family: Bacterial small subunit ribosomal RNA
Source: RNAcentral
GAACGCUGGCGGCGUGCCUAACACAUGCAAGUCGAACGGAGAUUAGACGCUGACGAGACUUCGGUCAAAUCUUGUUAAUCUUAGUGGCGGACGGGUGAGUAACGCGUGGGCAACCUGCCUCAUACUGGGGGAUAGCAGUUGGAAACGACUGAUAAUACCGCAUAAGCGCACAGAGUCGCAUGACUCAGUGUGAAAGACUCCGGUGGUAUGAGAUGGGCCCGCGUCAGAUUAGCUAGUUGGUAAGGUAGCGGCUUACCAAGGCGACGAUCUGUAGCCGGACUGAGAGGUCGGACGGCCACAUUGGGACUGAGACACGGCCCAAACUCCUACGGGAGGCAGCAGUGGGGGAUAUUGCACAAUGGAGGAAACUCUGAUGCAGCGACGCCGCGUGAGUGAAGAAGUAUUUCGGUAUGUAAAGCUCUAUCAGCAGGGAAGAAAGACUCGCAAGAGAGAUGACGGUACCUGACUAAGAAGCCCCGGCUAACUACGUGCCAGCCGCCGC